AUACCACAUUUUUCUGUGUCAUGUCCAAAAUAUAAGUUUAUUUAAAAUAAUUUCUAUAUGUAUCUCUGCAAUGUUCAUUCACUUAACAUGAGAUAUAUUUUUCAUUUGAAACAAGUCCAUCUCCACUUACUUUCGGGCUAAAAAUAAACCCCGUCCAUGACCUUCGAUAAACAGGAAGUAGAGUACCCAUUAUUGCCGCUUAUAUCUUUUCCUCAUUAUUCACCAACUAAUCGCUAAAUAAACCAACUAUUUUUAAAUUCAUGACAAAAAAAGACGGAAAAAUGUCUCCAAUGUAAAAUUAUUUAAUUAGAAACGCAAUUUUAAUGUUUUAUUUUAAUUUUUGGUGACCUAUUUUUUUUUCGAUGUUGUUACGACCUCGUGUGUAAAAAUAAACAUGGAGAAACAUGUGCUUUGCAGCUUUAUCGGAACUGACAAUGUCCGCAGCGAUAUUUUUCCAAGUGAACUCAGUAUUAUGACAGAUAACAAGAAGAGAAGUAUAUGCCUCAUCGGCUGCAGAGCUUUUGGAAACACGUUUUAACCAGUUUUUGCGUAUAUUAAUUUUGCUUGUGAACCAGCCUUCAAUUACAGUAUUCCUUCCAACAUGGUGGGCGUAGCUCCGUGGUUAAGCCGAGAGGCUUGAGCCCCAUUGCGUACUUCCACAACGACAUACAUGCCAACUUUCCCGAUUUAGGCGGGAUCCUCCCGAUUUUACCCUUUCAUCCCGCUUUCCCGAUCGGGAAAGAAAAAUUGCCCUAAUUUCCCGAUUUGAAAAAAUCACCAAAAUUUCCGAUUAUAAAAGAUUCCCUACCGCUGAAUUUUGACAAUCGGGAUAACAAUGUUAAACUUGUUUAUUCAAUGCACUCAGAAAAGUUUCAUUGUUUAUUUAACAAUGUUAAUUAGCCACAGGAAAUCACUUCACGCUUGAGCGCACGCAGUUGUCCAGAAGGUCCUUUUCAUGUGAAUUCAGAAGUUUUCGGAAUAAGACCAGUGUUAUAAGACUAGUUGGUGCUUUCCAGAACAUACACACAAGAUGGCAAAGUAUGUUGUGACUGUCAAGAGGAGUUUCUUUGAGGAAGAUGAGAGAUUGCAAAGGCACAUAUAUCAAGCACUUGUCCUCGCUUUGCCUUGCCAAUGACCAAAAAAAUGGUUGUCAAUGACUACAGUAUCUGAAGAUUUUUUAAGGAGUUGAAUGUCAUACAUUCCUCUGCCUAUGGCUGCUAAAUUAAAGCUUGACAGUUUUAUGUGAAGAAUUAAAAAAAAUAUA
Saccostrea cuccullata (small rock oyster) is the source of this 1264-nucleotide long non-coding RNA. RefSeq lists it as uncharacterized. The transcript is spliced from 3 exons. NCBI's taxonomy places the organism in Eukaryota, Metazoa, Mollusca, Bivalvia, Ostreida, Ostreidae. The record is from RefSeq and is a predicted model, not a curated record.